CUUUCACAUGGGCAGCAUUUAGUUCAAUUCAGAACUGCAGAUAGUAUAGCCUGCACGGCAGCAAUGGGAUGUCUGAGCAUGAGGGGCUGACUUCCGAGCRCCUCCGCCAAGCCCGGCUGUACGCUUCUCCUGACCUACCCUGGAAUUGUGCCCCUUGCCAUCCGCCCACCUUGUCUCUGCGGAAGGAGGCAGCGCGACCUGCGCAGCGCAGCAAGACAAAACUAGGCAUCACAACAAAGCUGCAGACCAGCAAACGAAGCUAAGUGAGGGCAAUUUGACCAAUGUCUUCUGUGUCAGUUCCCCAGCAGUCAAAGCAUGUUAUCAGGUCUCCAAGACCUACAGCUUGCGAAGACUGGAAAGGAAGACAAAUAAGGUUGGUUCAAUGUCCUCAGGGGGCGGAGAAGGGUGAAGAAAGAGGACAAGAUUCAGACUGGACACACAUACCAGAAAAAAGCAUUUGCCUUCAAAAAGUCUUACUCCACCUCCCCGUAAAAAUGUAAUGCCAACAAAGGAAAAAGAUGUUGCAAGUCAUGCAGAGCACCUACCACAGAAGUAUGCUAAAAUACUGUUCUAAUCAAUGUACAAUUUGUACAGUUUUUAAUGCAUCAUUGGGAAAUUAUCUGAAGUUUACAACUUUUAAGAAACCCCAGUCUAAGAUUUGUUUAUUCACCUAAAGAUUUGUUCCCAAAGGAUCUCACUGCUGGAGAAUUAGCAAGAUUGGUUAACAGACACACACAGCUUGACACAACGAGCAAAGCCAGACCUGUGUGACAUCUGUCAUCUAUAUUUCUGUGAGCACUCGUGUGGGGAAGGGAGAGAGAAGGAAGGAAGAAGUGGGGCAAUACACAGGGCAGAGUAGUGCCUUAUG
This 868-nucleotide long non-coding RNA is filed under the name Apteryx rowi (Okarito brown kiwi). RNAcentral describes it as "lncRNA (ENSARWG00000001597.1)". The record is from RNAcentral. Lineage: Eukaryota; Metazoa; Chordata; Aves; Apterygiformes; Apterygidae.